CAGCAGCCGCGGGAAUACGAAGGGGGCUAGCGUUGCUCGGAAUGACUGGGCGUAAAGGGCGCGUAGGCGGCGAUCAAAGUCAGGCGUGAAAUUCCUGGGCUCAACCUGGGGGCUGCGUUUGAUACUUGAUUGCUAGAGUGGGGAAGAGGGUCGUGGAAUUCCCAGUGUAGAGGUGAAAUUCGUAGAUAUUGGGAAGAACACCGGUGGCGAAGGCGGCGACCUGGUCCUUGACUGACGCUGAGGCGCGAAAGCGUGGGGAGCAAACAGGAUUAGAUACCCCCGUAGUCCCUGUCUCUUAUAC
RNAcentral lists this ribosomal RNA (301 nucleotides) under uncultured bacterium. RNAcentral describes it as "partial 16S ribosomal RNA". It matches the Rfam family "Bacterial small subunit ribosomal RNA", at positions 509 to 807 of the family's 1533-position model. The record is from RNAcentral.